AACAGGAUUAGAUACCCUGGUAGUCCACGCCGUAAACGAUGUCUAUUUGGAGGUUGUUCCCCUGAGGAGUGGCUUCCGGAGCUAACGCGUUAAAUAGACCGCCUGGGGAGUACGGCCGCAAGGUUAAAACUCAAAUGAAUUGACGGGGCCCGCACAAGCGGUGGAGCAUGUGGUUUAAUUCGAUGCAACGCGAAGAACCUUACCUGGUCUUGACAUCCACAGAACUUUCCAGAGAUGGAUUGGUGCCUUCGGGAACUGUGAGACAGGUGCUGCAUGGCUGUCGUCAGCUCGUGUUGUGAAAUGUUGGGUUAAGUCCCGCAACGAGCGCAACCCUUAUCCUUUGUUGCCAGCGAUUCGGUCGGGAACUCAAAGGAGACUGCCAGUGAUAAACUGGAGGAAGGUGGGGAUGACGUCAAGUCAUCAUGGCCCUUACGACCAGGGCUACACACGUGCUACAAUGGCAUAUGCAAAGAGAAGCGACCUCGCGAGAGUAAGCGGACCUCAUAAAGUAUGUCGUAGUCCGGAUUGGAGUCUGCAACUCGACUCCAUGAAGUCGGAAUCGCUAGUAAUCGUGGAUCAGAAUGCCACGGUGAAUACGUUCCCGGGCCUUGUACACACCGCCCGUCACACCAUGGGAGUGGGUUGCAAAAGAAGUAGGUAGCUUAACCUUCGGGAGGGCGCUUACCACUUUGUGAUUCAUGACUGGGGUGAAGUCGUAACAAGGUAACC
Molecule: ribosomal RNA, 729 nt
Filed under: uncultured bacterium
Lineage: Bacteria
Description: bacterial SSU rRNA
Rfam family: Bacterial small subunit ribosomal RNA
Source: RNAcentral